GAUCCUUGGCCCAGUUUGUGCUGACUCAGCCGCCCUCAGCAUCCGCGUCUCCUGGGCAAACCGUUACGAUCUCCUGUGCCAGGAGCAGCGGCAGCAUCGGUAGCUACUAUGUACAAUGGUACCAACAGAAGCCUGGCAGUGCCCCAAAGCUUAUUAUAUACGAGUGGAACAAGAGACCCUCUGGCAUCUCCGACCGAUUCUCCGGCUCUACAGACACCUCCGCCAAUGCUGCCUCCUUAACCAUCUCUGGGGUCCAAGCCGACGAUGAGGCUGAUUAUUACUGUGAAUCAAAUGACGGAGGCUACAAUCCCACA
Non-coding RNA from Terrapene triunguis (Three-toed box turtle), 314 nucleotides. Lineage: Eukaryota; Metazoa; Chordata; Testudines; Emydidae. The record is from the annotation of a RefSeq genome assembly.